Oryctolagus cuniculus (rabbit) is the source of this 652-nucleotide non-coding RNA. The record is from RefSeq and is a predicted model, not a curated record. Lineage: Eukaryota; Metazoa; Chordata; Mammalia; Lagomorpha; Leporidae.
CACAUUGGAAGGCACUCAGCCUGACCUUGAAAUCCCCUGGAGUGAGCAACUCAAUUAAUGUGUGAUUAGUAUGGACGAUGGCACCAAACCUUGAGGUGUUCAACCAUGAGGGAAUACAACCCCAGGCGGUUCAGGCCUCUGGAUCCUCUCUGAUUAUCCUGGAAGUAGGUCCUCAUCUUGCUCCCAGGCAAUAUCAAAGGCCCAUGGAGUGAAAGACACUAUUUAGCCAACCUCAGCCCACCAGCAAGUUUUGAACAUCUGGCAUUUGGGAGAUCCAGUAAGACCGGGAGUCCAAUGUGGAUAAAUGACUGGGGCUAUAAUCCCCCAACCAGACGUGACCCGGGCCAGCUCAUCCUGGAGCUCAGAGACACAAGGGUUUACUGUGAUUCAAAGAAGUCCCUGGAAGAGGAGGGAGCAAGAAGAGGCAGAACUAACACUUGGUGAAUUCCAACCACAUUCCAGACACUGAACUAAGAAUAACUAUUCUCCUGUUUAAUGCCCACAGCAGUAGGCACUUCUGAGUUCAUCUUAGAUGUAUAGAACCAAAAUAACGCAGUGGAGAAUCCCUAUGCCUGGAGCGGGAAGAAUGUAGUAGACCGCUCCUGCUGUAGUCUUUUCUCUUCUCUGAUUAGAGACCCAUACGGGGUAAUGA